Cornus florida is the source of this 5680-nucleotide RNA transcript. It is a transcript of the gene named ARF guanine-nucleotide exchange factor GNOM-like, with no coding region annotated. The record is from RefSeq and is a predicted model, not a curated record. Lineage: Eukaryota; Viridiplantae; Streptophyta; Magnoliopsida; Cornales; Cornaceae. The transcript is spliced from 5 exons.
UCUAUUACAACCAUACAAUAGUUAUUAUAUUUAUAACAGAAAAAGAAGAAAAGGAAAAAUAAAAAUAAAAAUGAUACGGCGUCGUCUUGGUUUGCUCCCGAAAGCUAAAACACUUGCGCGAUCUGUAUAAUCUGUCUCUCUGUGUCUCUCUUUCAAAUUCAUCAUCAUCAUCAGCGCGUCUUCGAUCUGAAGUAGAAGUCAUUCGAUCCAUUGCUCUUCGACUUACACCUUCAUCUCUGCAGUUCGCCAAGCAAUCAGAGUCCGGCGAACGGCGAGACUCAGAAAUGUUGUAGUUGCUGUUUUAACAUGUAUGAUUAAUUCAGAGAUAGGUGCUUUGUUGGAGGUGUCUUGUUUAUGUUACUUGCUGAGCUGGAAGAAUACAGCUAUAUUGGUUUCCUCUGUGGACCCUGAGGGGCAUGCUUUGCUAGGUUCUGGUACUUUCUCUGCAUACAAGUUGCUAACUACAGAUUGAACUGGUGCUCUUAGCAAAAAUUAUUCGACUUGAAAAUUGGGUUUCUGAAGCUGCAAUAUGGAAUUAAGACAGUCGAAGAAGAUUGUGAAAGAAUCAUUGUAGCAUGUAAUACUAAUUCAAAAGUAGGUGCUGCGUUGGAGUUGCCUCCUUCAUGAUACUUUCUGAGAUCCUUUUGGCUUAUUAAUUGAUAGUAAUCUCCUAAUGAGUAUGUAUAUUGGGGUUCUCUGUAGACAAUGAGGGGUAUGAAUUGCUUGCUCCCAGCACUUUUUCUGCAUAGCAGUUGUUAAUUACAGAUUGAACUUGGUAUCUUAGAGAAAUUAAUUUCAAUAUGGGGCGUCUAAAGCUGCAGUCUGGAAUAAAGUCAAUUGAAGAAGAACCAGAAGAUUGUGAAACAACACCCUCUUCUAACAAAGCUGCUUUAGCAUGUACGAUUAAUUCAGAAAUAGGUGCUGUAUUGGCAGUUAUGAGGAGGAAUGUGAGAUGGGGAGGUCGUUAUAUGACAGGUGAUGAUCAGCUAGAGAACUCUCUCAUCCAGUCUUUGAAGACUUUACGGAAGCAGAUAUUUUCUUGGCAGCAUCAAUGGCAUACCGUCAAUCCUGCUGUGUAUCUCCAGCCAUUUUUGGAUGUGAUUCGAUCUGAUGAAACUGGUGCACCGAUCACAGGUGUUGCUUUGUCAUCUGUUUACAAGAUUUUAGCUCUUGAUGUACUCGAUCUAAAUACUGUUAAUGUUGAAGAUGCUAUGCACUUGGUAGUUGAUGCUGUGACUAGCUGCAGAUUUGAGGUGACUGAUCCUGCAUCAGAAGAAGUGGUCCUGAUGAAGAUACUUCAGGUUCUUCUGGCUUGCAUGAAAAGUAAAACAUCAAUUCUGCUUAGCAAUCAGCAUGUUUGUACCAUAGUGAAUACUUGUUUCCGGGUAGUUCAUCAAGCGGUGACAAAAGGCGAGUUGUUACAGCGAAUAGCCCGCCACACGUUGCAUGAACUUGUUAGGUGUAUUUUCUCACACCUUCAAGAUGUUGACAACACUGAACGUUCAUUGGUUAGAGGAGGUGGUUCUGUCAAACAGGAGGCCGGUGGGAUUGAUAAUGAUUAUAAUUUUGGGGGUAAGCAAUCAGAGAAUGGGAAUGGUAAUUCAGUAUAUGAUAGCCAAACAUCCUCUGGAAGUUUGGUUUCUAAUGCUUCUGGUGGCCUAGUUACUGGUAUGAUGGAUGAAAACAUGAUCGGAGCUGGUAACGGAAAGGAUGCUACUCCAUAUGAUUUGCAUUUAAUGACCGAACCAUAUGGCGUUCCCUGUAUGGUGGAGAUAUUUCACUUCUUUUGUCAAUUGUUGACUCUUGUUGAGGAUACGGGAGCCACUGCCAUUCCCAAACCAAAUCCUAUAGCGUUUGAUGAAAAUGUGCCUCUUUUUUCCUUGAGCUUGAUCAAUUCAGCUAUAGAAUUGGGUGGUUCCUCUAUUUGCCGACAUCCUAGAUUGUUGAGUAUGGUACAGGAUGAACUAUUCCGUAGUCUGAUGCAAUUUGGCUUGUCUGUGAGUCCACUUAUUCUUUCAAUGGUCUGUAGCAUCGUUCUGAAUCUUUAUCAUCAUUUGCGCACUGAACUUAAACUACAGCUCGAGGCUUUCUUUUCCUGUGUGAUUUUGAGGCUUGCACAGAGUCGAUAUGGGGCUAAUUAUCAGCAGCAGGAGGUCGCAAUGGAGGCUCUUGUUGACUUUUGCCGGCAGAAAACUUUUAUGGUGGAGAUGUAUGCCAACUUAGAUUGCGACAUAACUUGCAGUAAUGUGUUUGAAGACCUUGCUAAUUUGUUGUCCAAAAGUGCAUUUCCAGUGAACUGUCCUUUGUCUGCAAUGCAUAUUCUUGCUUUGGAUGGUCUGAUUGCAGUAGUUCAGGGAAUGGCUGAGAGGAUAGGCAAUGGAUCAGUCAGCUUGGAACUGUCUCCUGUAAAUCUUGAGGAGUAUACCCCAUUCUGGAUGGUGAAGUGUGACAACUAUAGUGAUCCUGAUCAUUGGGUUCCAUUUGUCCGCCGGAGGAAAUACAUCAAAAGAAGGUUGAUGAUUGGAGCUGAUCACUUUAAUCGGGACCCCAAAAAAGGGCUGGAGUUUCUCCAAGGAACGCAUCUAUUGCCUGACAAACUUGAUCCCCAAAGUGUGGCUUGCUUUUUCAGGUACACUGCUGGGUUAGAUAAGAAUCUUGUUGGAGAUUUCCUGGGAAAUCAUGAUGAGUUUUGUGUUCAGGUUCUUCAUGAAUUUGCUGGGACUUUUGACUUCCAAGACAUGAACCUGGAUACUGCAUUGCGGCUGUUUUUGGAAACUUUCCGACUGCCUGGUGAAUCACAAAAGAUACAGAGGGUUCUCGAGGCCUUUUCGGAGAGAUAUUACGAGCAAUCACCUCACAUUCUUGUUAAUAAGGAUGCUGCUUUAUUAUUGUCCUACUCAUUAAUAAUGCUCAACACAGAUCAGCACAAUGUACAGGUGAAGAAAAAGAUGACAGAGGAAGAUUUCAUCCGGAAUAAUCGGCACAUCAACGGUGGCAAUGAUCUCCCUAGAGACUUUCUGUCAGAGUUGUACCACUCAAUUUGCAAGAAUGAGAUCCGCACAACCCCCGAACAGGGUUCCGGUUUCCCUGAAAUGACCCCAAGCCGUUGGAUUGAUCUAAUGCACAAAUCCAAGAAGACUGCUCCAUUCAUUGUAUCCGAUUCCAGAGCCUACCUUGACCACGAUAUGUUUGCUAUAAUGUCAGGUCCGACAAUUGCUGCUAUCUCUGUGGUAUUUGAUCAUGCAGAACAUGAAGAUGUAUACCAAACUUGUAUCGAUGGAUUCUUGGCUGUUGCUAAGAUUUCGGCAUGCCAUCAUCUUGAAGAUGUUUUGGAUGAUCUGGUGGUGUCUCUCUGUAAGUUCACAACCCUCUUAAACCCAUCAUCUAUCGAGGAACCUGUUCUAGCCUUCGGUGAUGACAUAAAGGCCAGGAUGGCAACUGUAACAGUCUUCACCAUUGCAAAUAGAUAUGGUGAUUUCAUCCGCACAGGCUGGAGAAAUAUCCUGGAUUGCAUCUUAAAAUUGCACAAGCUUGGUCUUCUUCCUGCUCGUGUUGCCAGUGAUGCGGCGGAUGACUCAGACCUACCUUCUGACACUGGACAUGGGAAGCCUCUUACAAAUUCUUUAUCUUCAGCUCACAUGCUAUCCAUGGGGACUCCUAGGAGGUCUUCUGGACUGAUGGGUCGGUUCAGUCAGCUAUUAUCCCUUGAUACAGAGGAGCCAAGAUCUCAACCUACUGAGCAACAACUUGCAGCUCAUCAGCGCACCCUGCAGACAAUUCAGAAAUGCCACAUUGACGGCAUCUUUACGGAGAGUAAAUUUUUGCAAUCCGAUUCUUUGUUACAGCUUGCACGGGCCCUCAUUUGGGCUGCAGGGCGACCCCAGAAGGGAAAUAGUUCUCCUGAGGAUGAAGACACUGCAGUUUUCUGCUUGGAAUUGCUGAUUGCAAUAACCCUGAACAACCGGGAUAGGAUUGUACUUCUCUGGCAGGGUGUUUAUGAGCACAUAUCUAAUAUUGUUCAGUCAACUGUGAUGCCUUGUGCCCUGGUUGAGAAGGCUGUUUUUGGACUCCUUCGGAUUUGUCAGCGGUUACUUCCUUAUAAAGAAAAUCUGGCUGAUGAACUUUUGAGGUCAUUGCAGCUGGUUUUAAAGCUAGAUGCUCGGGUUGCUGAUGCUUACUGUGAGCAAAUCACACAGGAAGUCAGUCGUCUUGUGAAAGCAAAUGCCACUCACAUCAGAUCCCAAAUGGGGUGGCGAACUAUCACAUCCUUACUUUCCAUCACAGCUCGACACCCUGAAGCUUCUGAAGCAGGAUUCGACGCACUAUUAUUCAUCAUGUCUGAUGGAGCACACUUGUUGCCCGCUAAUUUUGUUCUCUGCAUAGAUGCAGCAAGGCAGUUUGCCGAGUCUCGUGUUGGACAGGCUGACCGGUCUGUUCGUGCACUGAAUCUUAUGGCAGGUUCUGCUGCUUGUUUAGCACGAUGGGCCCAAGAAAAUAGGGAAUCGUUGGGGUCUCAGGAUAUAGGGGAGAUGUGGCUGAAGCUUGUGCAGGGUAUGAGAAAAGUUUGUUUGGACCAGAGAGAGGAAGUUAGGAAUCAUGCUAUCAUAUCAUUGCAAAUGUGCUUGACAGGAGUGGAUGGCGUCCAACUUCCACAUGGUUUGUGGUUGCAAUGUUUUGAUCAUGUCAUAUUCACAAUGCUUGAUGACUUGCUGGAAAUUGCGCAGGGGCACUCUCAAAAGGACUACCGAAACAUGGAAGGAACACUAAUCCUUGCCUUGAAGCUACUGUCAAAAGUAUUUUUACAGUUGCUUCAUGAGCUCUCGCAGUUAACAACCUUUUGCAAACUGUGGCUGGGUGUUCUUGGUCGUAUGGAGAAGUAUAUGAAGGCCAAAGUCAGAGGGAAGAGAAGUGAGAAGCUUCAAGAACUAGUCCCUGAACUUCUCAAGAAUACUUUGCUUGUAAUGAAGACAAGGGGAGUGCUUGCACAGAGGAGUGCCCUAGGUGGAGAUAGCUUGUGGGAACUGACAUGGUUACAUGUGAAUAACAUUGCUCCAUCUUUGCAAUCUGUGGUGUUCCCAGAUCAAGAUUCAGUGCAGUCACAGCCUAAUCAAGUUGAAAUGGGUGGAAGUCUUGUAUCUGACGAAACUGGUUCUGCUCCUAAUGAAACUGCAACUCCAGAAGCUUGUACAGGAGGCUAACAGUUUGUACAAUGUUCUUUGAUUUGAAUUGCUUCUUUUAAUGCAUGUUCUUUACAUGGUUCACGAGGCUCGCAUUGUGAAAGUUGUUUGGGAUGUGGUUCGUCACUCCUUCAAAUGGAAUUUUGUCAUUGUGGGAGGAGGUUCUUGAAGGUCUUAGUUUUGUCCCAGAUGCUGGAUAUUCAAGGUUCGACCAAGGAGCUUCACACCACGUUCAUGUGCCUAUUAGUAACCGCAAGAUUCCUUUGGUAUUGCUUGCAGACACAAUUGUAGGGUUUUGGCAGUCUAGAGUAUAUACUUCCUGUAUGUUUCCUUGCUUGUGGAGUUAGUGUAAACUAGAGUUACAUCUGGUGGAUCAAUGAGGCGGACUUAAACAAAGCACGUAUUAUGAAUCACUUGAAUUUCCAGAAAAUUUGAUAUUGUCACGAGAACCAUUUAUGUAUAUACGUGUUAUAAGCUAUGCCAAUGGUAUCAAGUUUAUCAUC